RNAcentral lists this ribosomal RNA (630 nucleotides) under uncultured bacterium. RNAcentral describes it as "bacterial SSU rRNA". It matches the Rfam family "Bacterial small subunit ribosomal RNA", at positions 233 to 873 of the family's 1533-position model. The record is from RNAcentral.
GCGGCCUAUCAGCUUGUUGGUGGGGUUGUGGCCUACCAAGGCGACGACGGGUAGCCGGCCUGAGAGGGUGACCGGCCACACUGGGACUGAGACACGGCCCAGACUCCUACGGGAGGCAGCAGUGGGGAAUCUUGCGCAAUGGGCGAAAGCCUGACGCAGCGACGCCGCGUGGGGGAUGAAGGCCUUCGGGUUGUAAACCUCUUUCAGCAGGGAAGAAGCGAAAGUGACGGUACCUGCAGAAGAAGCACCGGCUAACUACGUGCCAGCAGCCGCGGUAAUACGUAGGGUGCAAGCGUUGUCCGGAAUUAUUGGGCGUAAAGAGCUCGUAGGUGGCGGGUCACGUCGGGUGUGAAAGCCCGGGGCUUAACCCCGGGUCUGCAUUCGAUACGGGCUUGCUAGGGUCCGGCAGGGGAGACUGGAAUUCCUGGUGUAGCGGUGAAAUGCGCAGAUAUCAGGAGGAACACCGGUGGCGAAGGCGGGUCUCUGGGCCGGUACCGACGCUGAGGAGCGAAAGCGUGGGGAGCGAACAGGAUUAGAUACCCUGGUAGUCCACGCUGUAAACGUUGGGCGCUAGGUGUGGGGAGCAUUCCACGUUCUCUGUGCCGUAGCUAACGCAUUAAGCGCCCCGCC